UACAGACAUACAUACAUACAUACACACACGCGCAUUUCCAUGUGCACGGUUCUUUCUAUAUUGUUUCUCUGUAAAUCAGUACUGAAGUAUUAGGUGCCUACAGCACAGACGACUUGACAGCUGCAGGGCUUUCUCAUUUUUCUUUUCAACAUAGUAAUUUCAGAUAAUUUCCCCCGCGUUCUCUCUUCUUGGCAAUUUGUAUAUGAAUAACAGAAUAAUUUUGUCUUUUGUUUCCUCUUUGCUACCUCAAAUCCAAAUAAAGAUGCCUUUUAGUAUUAAAAGUGGUAGAAAAUUACAGGUAAUUAUCUUUGACGGUAAAAACGCUGUAAUCAGCGGGCUACAUCAAAAAUUACCCUAAUUAUGCCUGCAUUUAUGAGAAUGAGAAAAAAACCUUCUCGUAGAUAAAACCCAUAAAUUGUCCCAAAUAUCUCCUUCAUAUUGAACAGGACUGCAGCUGGAGGCUUUGUUCAGAAUCGAUCCUGUGGCGCUUGGCAUUCAGCAUUUUACAGUGAGAGCGGGGGAUAGAGGGGUGAAACAUUUUGUCAAUACUUUAAUAAUUGAGGUAGAAAAUGGCAAGAUUGACUGGACAAGAAACAACCAGGUUCUACGGAAAAAUAGUAUAGACAGAAGAAGGACUAGGUUUCCACAGCUGCUGUGAGUGAGAGAUGACCGGAGAAAUAGCCCUCGGAAAGCGACGGCCCAUCCUGGUACUAUUAGGCUUGUGGCUAAUAAUAGGUGUUUCAGUCCAGGGAAGAUCAAUCAGGGGGAAUCAGGGGGAAUGUUCAGAGGAGCACUUUUACACAUCUGCCCAGAUGGAUGAAAUUACACUUGUCUGUUUUUAGUUGCAUUACUUCCAAAUUGGUUGUCUACUUUUUCCCCCCCCCUCAUUCAUGUGUCAAUGGUCUACUAAAAGGAUUCUGUGCUAAAUCCCCUGUCAUUUCAGUCUUGCACCCAUCUCCCUUGCUCUCUAUUUAUUUACAAACUUGCAUAUGCACACGUAAUGACCAGAUAACACCACAGCCCGAUUUCACUUCUGAGGGUACUAGGGGUAGGAAAUUAUCUUGUGUUCACAUCCGAUGUGCAAGGCUUUCUUCUGAAUUCUCAGUGCACUUCUCAGCGUAUGAUAGAUGCAGCUCAAUGCAUUAAAAUCCAGCCUGGUUAAUGUUCUUUUUUUUUUUCGGUAGGAUCACUGCUAGCCUAUUGUAACUACCAAAUAUAAAGCUUAACCAUUCAAAACUAGUAGAGACAAUACAGUAAUGAUUUAUUUACAGAAAUGCUUUUCAAUUACAAUUUUCUUUCUGACUAAAUGUCAGGGUCGAUAAAUUAAUUUCCAUCAGUUGAAAGUAGCACAAUAUUGUUAAAUUUAGCAAAUUUCCAUGAUAAUGAAUGGGCAAGAGGUCAAAACUAUCAUUAAAGAAAAAUGUGAUUGCCUCAAUUAUAUGUAUGACAGAAUACAACCAAAUUAAGAAGCCCUCAUAUAUAAACAUACAAAUAAUUGUAGAACCUAAUAUAUUUAAAUUCUUGGGAAUAAAUGCAUUUAUUGAAUUUGGAUACAGAUUCGUUUGCAUAUUCAAUUACAUGUGCUCAUUUGGAUAAACAGCUAUUUGCAUUGGAAUAACUAUUUGCAUUCAUUUUUGCAUGAAGGAUAUGGGUGGUGCAUUUUCACUGUAAACAUAAAUAAAAAAUCUUUACACUAUACUACAUGAGUGAUACCAUUAGUAUCUUGAUUAAAUUCCACAUAUCACUUGUCUUGCAUUCCAUUUGUAUGUACUUAUUUGUUCAGUGUAAAUAUAUUGAAAUAUUUUUGUAAAUGUGGAAAUCGAUGUUAUAUGGAAUUCCAGAUCAGCAGCCUGGAUUAUUUAAUUAUUUUUUAUUUAACGAAAAAAAUAACUUGCAUAUGCAUUCAUGUUUAAGUGUAUUGCAGCUGUGCAUGUUUCUGUCUGUUGAAUGUUUGAGAUGAAUAAAGGAUUUGAAAAUAAAUUGGCUAAAUUGCUA
Long non-coding RNA from Anguilla anguilla (European eel), 1995 nucleotides. RefSeq lists it as uncharacterized. The transcript has 2 exons. Lineage: Eukaryota; Metazoa; Chordata; Actinopteri; Anguilliformes; Anguillidae. The record is from RefSeq and is a predicted model, not a curated record.